CCAUUUGUUAUGGUUAAAAAUUAGAAGUUUGGAAACUAUACAUGGAAAUUAUAGUAGAACCAGAUAGAAGCAUUUAAAAUUUCCGACAGGAAGAUUAAGUUUACAUAUAAAAUAUGAUUAAAAAAGUGCCAGCAAUCGCGGUCAUACUUUUAUAUUUUUUAAUUUAAACAUAUAAGGAUUAUUAUUAUAUUAAAAAUAGUGGUGAAAUAUUUUAAAUAUUUUUUAUAAUACACAUACAUAAUAAAAAAUUGAUAUAAAACAAGGAUUAGAUACCCUUUUAUUCAAUUCCCAUUAAUCCUUAUUAGGGACUACAAUCUUCCGGAUUAAAACCUAAAUAUCAUGGCGGUAAUUCUAAUUAUUAGGGGAACUUAUCAAAUAAAUGAUAACCACCAAGGUUAAUUUACUUUUUUAAAAAUUUUGUAUGCCGUCGCCGUCAGAUAGUAUAUGAUAUACUGUCAAUAAUUAUAUUCUAUUAAAAGGCAGAUCAAGGUGCAGAUUAUAAAAAAGACAUGGCGAGUUACUAUGGAACACGGAUAUAUUUAUUAAAUAAAGUUGAAGAAGGACUUAAAUGUAAUUUAUAUUACCUUUAUUAAAUGAAUUCUACUAGAAUUGUGCACAAAUCGCCCGUCACUCUUGGGUUUACCUAAGAUAAGUCGUAACAUAGUAGGUGUAGUGGAAACUGCUCC
Molecule: ribosomal RNA, 686 nt
Filed under: Aegista diversifamilia
Lineage: Eukaryota; Metazoa; Mollusca; Gastropoda; Stylommatophora; Camaenidae
Description: 12S ribosomal RNA
Source: RNAcentral